AGACGGGACCGCACAAGCGGUGGAUGAUGUGGUUUAAUUCGAUGCAACGCGAAAACCUUACCCACCUUUGACAUGGCAGGAAUCCUGAAGAGAUUUGGGAGUGCUCGAAAGAGAACCUGCACACAGGUGCUGCAUGGCUGUCGUCAGCUCGUGUCGUGAGAUGUUGGGUUAAGUCCCGCAACGAGCGCAACCCUUGUCAUUAAUUGCCAUCAUUCAGUUGGGCACUUUAAUGAGACUGCCGGUGACAAACCGGAGGAAGGUGGGGAUGACGUCAAGUCCUCAUGGCCCUUAUGGGUAGGGCUUCACACGUAAUACAAUGGUCGGUACAGAGGGUUGCCAACCCGCGAGGGGGAGCCAAUCCCAGAAAACCGAUCGUAGUCCGGAUUGCAGUCUGCAACUCGACUGCAUGAAGUCGGAAUCGCUAGUAAUCGCGGAUCAGCAUGUCGCGGUGAAUACGUUCCCGGGCCUU
RNAcentral lists this ribosomal RNA (469 nucleotides) under uncultured Propionivibrio sp. RNAcentral's name for it is "bacterial SSU rRNA". It matches the Rfam family "Bacterial small subunit ribosomal RNA", at positions 917 to 1381 of the family's 1533-position model. The record is from RNAcentral. Lineage: Bacteria; Pseudomonadati; Pseudomonadota; Betaproteobacteria; Rhodocyclales; Rhodocyclaceae.